Molecule: ribosomal RNA, 524 nt
Filed under: uncultured bacterium
Lineage: Bacteria
Description: partial 16S ribosomal RNA
Rfam family: Bacterial small subunit ribosomal RNA
Source: RNAcentral
GACGAACGCUGGCGGCGUGCCUAAUACAUGCAAGUCGAGCGCAGGAAGCUGACGGAACUCUUCGGAGGGAAGGCAGUGGAAUGAGCGGCGGACGGGUGAGUAACACGUAAGGAACCUGCCUCAAGGAUUGGGAUAACUCCGAGAAAUCGGAGCUAAUACCGGAUAGUUCAACGGACCGCAUGGUCCGCUGAUGAAAGGCGCUUCGGCGUCACCUUGAGAUGGCCUUGCGGUGCAUUAGCUAGUUGGUGGGGUAACGGCCCACCAAGGCGACGAUGCGUAGCCGACCUGAGGGGGUGGACGGCCACAAUGGGACUGAGACACGGCCCAGACUCCUACGGGAGGCAGCAGUAGGGAAUCUUCCACAAUGGACGAAAGUCUGAUGGAGCAACGCCGCGUGAGUGAUGAAGGUUUUCGGAUUGUAAAACUCUGUUGUAAGGGAAGAACACGUACGAGGGGAAAUGCUCGUACCUUGACGGUACCUUACGAGAAAGCCACGGCUAACUACGUGCCAGCCGCCGCGGUAA